RNAcentral lists this long non-coding RNA (2689 nucleotides) under Malus domestica (apple). Its description in RNAcentral is "long non-coding RNA (MDOM_LNC007487)". Lineage: Eukaryota; Viridiplantae; Streptophyta; Magnoliopsida; Rosales; Rosaceae. The record is from RNAcentral.
ACGCAACUUUUCACAUAAAUGAGAGUAAUGCAUGUAACACAAUUGGCCGUGCGUUUUAUGAAUACGAUCUGGAGUUCUUAAUUAGUUGCACAAUUUGCAAUUUGCAAUUUGCAACUAAUUUGAACCUAAUUAGUGACAUGGAAACCUUUGUGGUAGGUGAAACACAAAACCAAGUCAAGGGCCUUCACGCGCCAAGCCAGUUUAAUUUUUCCUUCCGUUACAGUGUCCACGUGGACCGUAACUGAGCUGCGUUCACAUUAAUAUGAGCUGUUUUUUAGAUUGACAAAUUCUUGACAUGCAGGCAAAGUAUUAGCAGCUUUUUAGCCUUUUUUUUUAUUGGCAAAACAAAUAAAAGUUAUAGCAGUUACACGUUGAAAGAGUCAAAUUUUUACCUCAAAAGAAGAUAAAAUAUUAGUGAAUGUUACACUGUGGUUGGACUCACAAAAAUCUAGUUUUGAACUCUAUUAGUUUCUUUUUCCUUGUUUUUUUGUUUCAUCAUUUUUUUUUCUUAUUAAAGCAACAUCAAGUGUAUAUUACGGAUAAAAGAAUAAAAGAAUUUUUUUUACACAUACAAGUAGCUUAUGAAGGAAAUUUUGUGAAAAACAUGUUCAUUUGAGCAACAUCUAUGGCAUGCAAUUAACAAUUAAAGGCGGAAUCAUGCUUGUAUGCACUCAAAAACAAAAUAUUACUCAUGAAAUUCAAAGCCUAGUAGAAGGGUGAACCAAGACUCAACUCAAGAACAAAAUGAGUUGAGAAAUCUUAUACCUUUGUUGAUUCCUCUUUGCAUAAGCAAAGGCUAAUCACCCAAGGAGAGGGCAUUAAUUCCUUGCUUCUUAGCUCCAUGGAUUUCUUGAAUGAGGAUGGUUGAAAGGAUUCUCCAAGUUCCCAAAGUUGAGAACCUCUAAUUUUUCCAUACCAAGGAGAGACUCGAAGAAGAGAUGAGUGACAUUGGAGAAGGGAAGAUUGCUAGCUAAUCUCCUCCAAGGGGGCCGGCCUCCUAGAGAGAAAGGGAGAGACAUUGUGUUCUCAUCUUUUCUCCAAAAGAAACCCUAAUGAAGAAAAUGCUAUAAAGUCAUAUUUAUAUUUACCUUCAUUGGAGUGGCAAACUUGUAAUAAGUCCAAAACCCACUCCUUUAUCAAUAUGGCUGGCCAUAGGGUUUUAUUGGGCUGUUUGGGCCUUUGUGAAUUAUUAGUCAUUAAGUUGUCAUACAAGUUAAGUCAAUGGGCUUGACGUUCGAAGCCCAUUGGGCCUUGAGGCCCAAAAUUAACCCGAGGUCUAAAACGAACUUUAUUCGUUUGAUUAAUUAACAUAUUAAUUAAUUCUUGCCAUAAAUAAUUAAACCAUUUAAUCAUCCUUACUCAUCUCCGUUGUUUCUUCAAUCUCUACCUUACACGGUGUACGAUCCAUUAGGUUCCUUUUAGCGAGGCAGUGGGCGAUUAGAACUUUUUCAAAUCGAUUGUGAACUGAAACUUACUUUCAAUUCUCCCUUUAGUGAUUAUACAUGUUUAGGACUUCCACAAACCAUGAGUGACACCUAGCAGUAUGUCAUGGUUACCUAAGCUAAUCAGAAGAGGUGGAGAACCUAUUCAGUUUAGGAUUACAAUGCAAUACGGUCUUUCUCUAAUACAAUACUCUUGACCACAUUGUUUGGUUUGGUAGUUUAUUCAUGUCUACUAUCCAAUGCGAUUCAUUUACUUAUAUGAUUACCUUGAAUGUGAUUUGGAACAACUUCCUUAAAUUUCAUUCAUACUUUGGCCAGAGAUUCUUAAUCAUAUCAUAGAGUAUUCUCCCUCAAAUAGUUUGAAGGUUAGAGAUCCCUUGUUGUGCAUUCACUUGCCUCCAUGGCUAAGUGGCUUAACCCCAACUAUGUCGUGGACACCCUCGGAUGGAGUGACUUUGACAUAGUCAAAGAUCAAUGACCUAACCACAAGACAACUAUGAUGCCUUAAGUCAAAUGACUACUUUGCAUUAUCCCAACCAUGAGUUCUCAUGUGACAUGAGUAUGAGAACUCCUUGUUGAUCGCGUUUAGUGAACUCAUUCUCUAUUGAGCACCUACGUACUUGUCUUGGUGUCAGUCACACCAAUGACUUAAGACCAGUCACUCUCCUUAAGAGAAAAUAUAACACGUACUGAUCUUAACGGACUGUCAAUGCCCAAUUGGCAAUUCUAUGAUCAGGAUCCUUUAGGAUAUGUAUACGAAAGAGAAUGGUCUCAUGAAUCUAACUUCUUUAGAUCGCAUUCUCCCAAUUACAUAUUUCUUGGACUUAUCGUUUAAGCGUAUAACAUUUAUAUGAGACGGCUUCAAACAAUAAUCUUUGCCCUUUAAAUUAAACUAUAUUAGUUUAACAUGUGAAAUGUCCGUAAAGUAUCAUCAUAUGAUUAGUUUUAGGGCACAUUUCCAACAGCUUAGUUGGUUAAUUAUUUGUUAAUUUGUAACUUAUGUAAUAUGUGUCAAAUUACUUAAACUAAUGUUGAAUUUGAUUCCAAUAAAGAAGUUCAUGUGUUAGUUUUUUAGUAUGUACAUAUAUAGGUGGUUUUAGCCCUGAAAAAUAUAAAUGGUCUGAAAUUGAGCUACUCUGAGAGCAAUUCCAGUGUGUAAAGGCUCCUCAUGGCAAUUAGCAAUUGAAUCCCCUACAGUGAAUAGUAACUACCUUUAAUGAACUGUAAUUGUCUUUUGCAUCUCCAUU